UAGAUGUUUUUUUGGAUUUUGCAUCUAAAA
This 30-nucleotide non-coding RNA is filed under the name Rattus norvegicus (Norway rat). The record is from RNAcentral. Lineage: Eukaryota; Metazoa; Chordata; Mammalia; Rodentia; Muridae.